GCAGCAGGACUCAUCCCUGUGGAAACACUGUCAUCUGAGUGCUGGGGAAGGUGUGAAAAAGAGAAACAUGUACUGUACACCCUCUUGAAAACUGCAUGGUGUGGAGUCUGUGAAAGAAGUCACCGUCUGCUGUCAGUGCUAAGGAGAUGUCAGCUUAUAACUCAGCAGACAAUCUCUGCUGGAGGUAAAUUACUGGAGGUGUUGGACUCGACCUAUAAGUGAGAAGAAGAAACAGGAGGCCUUUGGUGUCUGUUCUCAAUUUGCCAGAUGGAUUUUCCUUCUGAUUUUUUCUCAAAGACAAUAUGGACCUUCAGCAAACCUAACGCUGGCGGGUGAAUUGAUAAUGAGACAGAUUCAAGACUGCAAAGAUGAUACACAAGUAAUACUGAGAUCUUACACCAUUACAAAAUUAUUACAAUCCUCAGUUCUAGAGACUUUGAUUCAUAUUUGAAGGUUAUGAAACAUGUCUAUUUCUUGGCUACUGGACAGAAUUCAACAGAGGACAUUCAAAAACUGAGGUGCGUAACUGAACAGUGUAGAAGUUAACACUAACACCAAGUUUGUUGGUCAUUCAGUUGUUGAAAUUCAGUUUCUGUUCUAUUUUCUCGACAUUUGGCCUGAUAAUAGCAUUACGUGAAAAGAUAAGGGAUCACCCAAGUCUACAGUUCAUCAUGGGGGGUCCAAGCCACCAAGUUUAUAUGGAGACAUACUCAAAAUAACAAAUGUUAGUCUCAUGGUGGUGCGAUAUUUCAGUCUGGAUCAGUGUUGGACUGAGCGGCUGCCAUCGCCAUGCCGCUGGUAUGUUUGCCUGUCUGACAUAGACAGAUAAUACAUCACUCUUUACAGUAAAGAGGGAGUGAAAGAGGCUUUAAAAAGAACUGGAGGCUGGUUGAAUAGGAAUACCAAGUGCUCAUCAAAACCUUAACAUUGUCAUAAAACAUGCAUUUGGUGUAGCUAACAGAAGAAGUCACAUCGUCAGCUAUAUCAUGCAGUUUUACUUUUGAUUUUGAAACGCGCCUGCGUUGUGGUGUUGAUGUGUGGCGAGUGUGUGUAUGAGGCACAGAAAGAUGAGGCCUAUUGCUGGUCUGCGGAUGAGAAGAAAGUAGCUGGUAAAUGGUUUCAUUUCUGAGAUGAAACCACUCAUUCCACUUUCUUCUCCUCUGAGACGCCCCUGCAGCUGAGUGCAUGUGAAAUGUGAGAGGCCGUCAUCGGGACAGAGUUCUGGGUGAUUCGACUUACUGGCAGCACUUCAUGAUAGAACACUGAUAGUGCUCUUUCUACGACAAUUAGAAGGUAACACAGGAUGCAACACACCCUGUUGUCACCAGAUGCCGUUACAAGUUGUUGACUUUUCAGACAACCACUAAGAUGCAGUCAUUUUCAGUACUGUACCAGCCAUAGCACGUCGUCAGUGUACACAUUGCUACUGCGACGUGCACUGUGAUGACUUUUAACAUAAGUGUGGAUAGAAAAAUCAGGGAAGGGAGACGAUCCAGAUGUCGCCCUCUCCCCUCCCAAAGCAGUUGUCAUUAGAGUGCAUGUUUGUGCGCUGCACUCCACCUCCAUCUGACCCUGUGACCCUGUGACGCUGUUCAGUGACCUGUGAUGUUCCUAGCAGAUUUGUUAAUAGAAAUGUACACCGUUCAUGCAUAAGUGAAGGAAACUGCACCUGUGCUUUUACUAAUGAAGUGCAGGAUGACAGAUUUAUUGAAUGGUUUGUAGUUUGUUGGACAAACCCAGGGGAAGAGAAAAUUAGAAAAAAGAACAAAAAGACGCACAAAUUAGCCGCUAUUUAAAUUUCAAAGGAGAUUUCAUCAAACUCUAAAAUAAUUCAGAUUUUCUGAACUUUUGUGCCUCCUUCUGAUCUCUCUUCUCAUCCAGGCCUAAUUCAUGCUCAUGCUAAGCUCAGACAGAGCAGACUUUGAGCUUCAUAAACACAGAUGUUGAGGUGGAAGUGUUGCAUUGAAGUGCAUACAGUUGUACAGGUGUGCUUAAUAAAGUGAAUAUCUCCCACUUUUUCUUUAAUGUUAGUCAAAAGCUGGUUGUAGACCAAACUCAAACUACACUACCAUGCCUGCGUCCACACUUGCAGUACUGCACGCCCACUUUUGCUGAAAGCACCAAGUUGAAAGUCAUUGUGGGAAGCACAGGAAAUGCUGGUACAAAGUGAAAAGCAAUAUGGGGCAUGUUGAGGAGAACACUAUACAGCAAAAGGAAAAUGAAAUGGCUCCUAGAAUAAAUCAGGGAAACUAGAUUUGUAUCUGAGAGUCAUUUUAAUAGAAAACCACACUGUAGUCUAAAAGAAAUCUGCCAGUGCAGCAGCUUUCAAAUCCCAGUAUUCACCUGUACCAUGCAAAGAGAUGUAAUCUUAUCGUCUAGUUGUUCUGGUGCCUUUCAUGUAAACCCACGGAUUUUCUAUGAAUAUCCUCCCAGUUACUUUCCCGUCAGGACAGGACUGCAGCGAGAAGGACACAUUAUGUAAAUGCAGGAACUCUAACACAGACGCCAGCGGCGGGAGCUAUAGAAAUGAACUACGGAGCGGCCAGUUGCCUUUGUUGGUGGUGGUGGUGGGUGACAGCAGCUGUAUUUACCACCGGAGCCUGUUCUGUUGUUUCCUAAAAUGUAAUGAGCACCAGGGCCGCUGCCGCUCUGAUGUGGCUGUUCACCUCAGAGCAGAGCCACAUUUCACCAGCUGGUGAUAACGGCCAAUAAUAAACACAGUGUUGUCACUAUGAAACACAGAAGUGUCCAUGAGAACAUGGUUUUCUUAACAUUUGACAUUUAUUUGCCAUUUUAAUGCAUAUGGCAUACGUGCAGGUCUGGGUUGCUAGUGUGACACGUUGAGUGUCUCCUGCUUUAGUUUUGGUCCGUUUCCAGCAAGAAUUCUGAUUUCAGACUGAUUCCCCGUUCAUACACUGUGCACUAGCUGAGCACAAAGACGCUCUACAGUGUUUGUAAAAUUUGUUUUGCAUGUCUGUUAGUCCAUAUAAUUGUCAAAAUUCCUAAUCCAGGCUGUGUUUUAUUUGUUUUUCCAGAGGUUGCAGUUAUUCAGCAACAGUUCUUUUAUUAAUUGAUACAGAACAAAUUAGAAACCACUGCUAAUGUUAAAAAUGUCCCUUCACUGUAGAAUAAUGUAUCGUACAGUUUCCCCACUUACUGUUCAGUUAGACAUACAUGUCUUAAUGUUUUGGAUCUUAAUUCAGAUUUCUGUUAACUCUUAACAUGUCUUCACUGCGGCGUUGGUUCUCAUUAGUUUGUCCCAUAUAUACCAAAAUCACAAACUUGAUUCAAAGAACUUUACAGCAUCUGAUCAACACCCCUGUCGUUGCCAGUCCUCAUUAUGACAUGUUGGCUUGGUUUGAGGCCAAAGUCAUGAUAUUAAUCAUCAAAUGCACAGUUAGGUUUAUAGCUCAGCUCUCAGACCGAUUCUAAACAAGCUGAAGAUGGAGGAUCUAUAGUGUUUAUCAAAUCUGCUUUUGCAUAUCUGCUUCUUUAAAUGAAGUUCAUGAUUCUUCCCGAUUCAAAGACACUAUCCAUCUGCUGCUGCAGCCUUAUUCACGCUUUAUAUCUUCUCAUGCGUUUGAC
This is a long non-coding RNA of Monopterus albus (swamp eel), 3585 nucleotides long. RefSeq lists it as uncharacterized. The transcript is spliced from 3 exons. The record is from RefSeq and is a predicted model, not a curated record. Lineage: Eukaryota; Metazoa; Chordata; Actinopteri; Synbranchiformes; Synbranchidae.